Molecule: ribosomal RNA, 402 nt
Filed under: bacterium
Lineage: Bacteria
Description: partial 16S ribosomal RNA
Rfam family: Bacterial small subunit ribosomal RNA
Source: RNAcentral
UGGGGAAUUUUGCACAAUGGGGGAAACCCUGAUGCAGCGACGCCGCGUGAUUUAGAAGGCCUGCGGGUUGUAAAAAUCUUUUCUAUGGGAAGAAAAUGACAGUACCAUAGGAAUAAGGACCGGCUAAUUACGUGCCAGCAGCCGCGGUAAUACGUAAGGUCCGAGCGUUGUCCGGAAUCAUUGGGCGUAAAGGGUACGUAGGCGGGUAAGCAAGUUAGAAGUGAAAUCCUAUAGCUCAACUAUAGUAAGCUUUUAAAACUGCUCAUCUUGAGGUAUGGAAGGGAAAGUGGAAUUCCUAGUGUAGCGGUGAAAUGCGCAGAUAUUAGGAGGAAUACCGGUGGCGAAGGCGACUUUCUGGCCAUAACCUGACGCUGAGGUACGAAAGCGUGGGUAGCAAACAGG